AUAAAUUAAAAAAAAAUAUAUAUAUAUAUGAACUAUAUGAUUAAAAUUAAUUUUGCCUGUUCCUUUUUAGAAAUGUGGCUACUACAACUUUUAAAUAUAUAGAGAGAUGAUACUAUAUUUUUAUUGGACAGUGCUUUCUAGAAUUUUCUUAUGACUUGUUAACCUUUAUUUAUGACCCCCUGUGUCUGGAGAUGGUGAUGAGGGUAGGAAAUGAAACCAAGGUGAAAGCACAAAGGAGCUACCCAUGGGAAUGGCACCAGCUCUGUCUACUGGGACCCAUAACAACCACUCAAUUUGACUAUAAAUUGACUUGCAUUAUUAAUAUUAUUAUGAACACAUAUAAGUUGUAUAAAUCAUUGGGCUUCACUGUGACAUUCCAUACAUGCAUAUAUCAUGUAUUGGUCAUGUCCACCCUCCCUCUACCUUUCCCUCACUUGUCUCUUGCCUAUUCACAGGUAUCAACUUGUAUUUGACAACAUAUUGACUAAACAGGCAGAUACAAAUGUUGUUUUGCACUUUUUUAGCAAGAGCAACCACCAUUACAUUUACAGGUGAAAUUUUUUACUUGCAUAGUUUUGUAUAAUUCUUAUAACAACCCUAUGGAAGUAAAUCUUUCACACACACACACACUUAUUUUUUACUGGUUCAUUAUAGUUGUAUAUAACUGUGGAAUUUGUUGUUCCAUAUUCAUAUAUACACUUGAUGUAACAAUGUAAUUUGGGCAAUAUCAUUCCCUAAUAUUUCCCCUUUCCCUCCCCUCCUCCUUCCCCUACUUUAUUCUAUUGAUCUCCCUUCAAUUUUCAUGAGACACCCCACCCCCAACUUUUGUUUUCCUUUCCCUCUCCAAGCUUCCACAUAUGAGAGAAAACAAAAGACCCUUGACUUUCUGAGUUUGGCUUAUUUCCCUUAACAUAGUGUUCUCAAGUUCCAUCCAUUUUCAUGCAAAUGACAUAAUUUUAUUUUUCAUUAUUGCUGAGUAAAACUCCAUUAUGUAUACAUACCACAUUUUCUUUACCCAUUCAUCCAAUGAUGGACACGUAGGCUGGUUUCAUAGUUGGGCUGUUGUGAAUGGUCCUGCUAUAAAUGUGGGUAUGCAUGUAUUGCUAUAGUAUGAUGACUUUAAUUCUUUAGGGUAAAUACCAAGGAGUAUACUUGGGUCAUAGGAUGGCUCCAUUCCUCUGGAAGUAAUUUCUAUUAUGCAAAUUUCACAGAAUGAUAUUGUCUAAAUAACAUUGUUACAUCAUGUGUAUACAGGAGUAUGUAACAACAAAUUCUACCAUUAUGUACAACUAUAAUUCACCAAUAAAAUGUGGGAAAAUGGGGAGAUUAAAUAACGUUCAAGAGAAGUUAAAUAACUUUCCCAAGAUCAUAAAACUAGUUAGUGAUAGGGCUGGGUUCACACAUAAAAGUGCAUUUGACUAAAAAGCUUAUAAUGUAAUCACUGGGCAAUACUAACUAAUCCAAGGGCUUUCAGUUUCUCCAUUUGUAACCAGUUGAAAAAUGAAAAAAAAAAGUAUCUAUUUUGUGGGAAGGAUAGUGGUGUUUGAAGAACUUUCAGGAGGGCUCAGGAAUUAUUUAUAUUAAUCUUAGAAAGCCUAUCCAUCACUGCCCACCAUUCAGGCAGAAGUGCUCCUUUAGGCUCUGAAUCCCAGCAUUUUAAAGGGAUUAUGCAUUCUAGGCUCUUCAGUUGAAGACAGACAGUGGUAAUGCAGAUGGAAACAAUUAUUUACAAUGUACAUGUGCAAAGCUCUACCAAGCAACCAUUAUCCAACUUUUCUGUACUGGGGAUUGAACCCAGGGGAAUUUUACCACUAAGCUAUAUCCCCAGUCUUUUUUAUUUUUUAUUUUGAGACAGGGUUUUGCUAAGUUGCUUAGGGCCUCA
Molecule: long non-coding RNA, 1882 nt
Filed under: Marmota monax (woodchuck)
Lineage: Eukaryota; Metazoa; Chordata; Mammalia; Rodentia; Sciuridae
Source: RNAcentral